UUGCAUGUGAAAAUCCCUGCUCCUCAUUCCUUUAAAAAGCAGUAAUAUAUCCAUAACAUGUUAUAUUUUGAAGAAACAGCA
Molecule: small nucleolar RNA, 81 nt
Filed under: Dasypus novemcinctus (nine-banded armadillo)
Lineage: Eukaryota; Metazoa; Chordata; Mammalia; Cingulata; Dasypodidae
Description: Small nucleolar RNA U109 (ENSDNOG00000029996.1)
Rfam family: Small nucleolar RNA U109
Source: RNAcentral